GAUGAACGCUGGCGGCGUGCUUAACACAUGCAAGUCGAACGAGAAGUGAAGACGGAAACCUUCGGGCGGAAGGCUUUAUUUCGAGUGGCGGACGGGUGAGUAACGCGUGGGUAACCUGCCUCAUACAGGGGGAUAACAGUUGGAAACGACUGUUAAUACCGCAUAAGACCACAGCACCGCAUGGUGCGGGGGUAAAAACUCCGGUGGUAUGAGAUGGACCCGCGUUCGAUUAGCCAGUUGGCGGGGUAACGGGCCACCAAAGCGACGAUCGAUAGCCGAUCUGAGAGGAUGACCGGCCACAUUGGGACUGAGACACGGCCCAAACUCCUACGGGAGGCAGCAGUGGGGAAUAUUGCACAAUGGGGGAAACCCUGAUGCAGCGACGCCGCGUGAGUGAAGAAGUAUUUCGGUAUGUAAAGCUCUAUCAGCAGGGAAGAAAAUGACGGUACCUGAGUAAGAAGCCCCGGCUAACUACGUG
Molecule: ribosomal RNA, 478 nt
Filed under: uncultured bacterium
Lineage: Bacteria
Description: partial 16S ribosomal RNA
Rfam family: Bacterial small subunit ribosomal RNA
Source: RNAcentral